UCAUUCUCAUUUGAUUGUUGAUACAAAUGCAUGUUGAGGAUACUAACAAAUAAUAUACACUUUACUUGCAUGUAAUAUCAAUAUGGUAACAAGACAAACAUCACUGUCCCUUUCCUUGUCAUCAAAUUGGCCAAACCACUAGCAUGUAAUGCCAAAACUUUAAAAAGGAAUUAAUAUAUUUAUCAAUUUUCUAAAAACAAUUAUUCUUGAAACUUUUUUUAAAAAAAUAAUCCAUUUUGAAAAAGAAAAACUAAAACAUCU
Molecule: long non-coding RNA, 261 nt
Filed under: Lathyrus oleraceus (garden pea)
Lineage: Eukaryota; Viridiplantae; Streptophyta; Magnoliopsida; Fabales; Fabaceae
Description: Pisum sativum (pea) long non-coding RNA (PSAT_LNC016632)
Source: RNAcentral